UGUUAAAACCCUAACCGGCAAGACCAUCACCCUUGAGGUUGAAAGCUCAGACACCAUAGACAAUGUCAAGGCUAAGAUCCAGGACAAGGAGGGGAUCCCUCCAGAUCAGCAAAGGUUGAUCUUUGCUGGGAAGCAACUUGAAGAUGGCAGAACUCUGGCGGACUAUAACAUCCAGAAGGAAUCCACCCUCCACUUGGUGCUCCGUCUGCGUGGUGGAAUGCAGAUCUUUGUGAAGACCCUUACCGGAAAGACCAUUACUCUGGAAGUCGAAAGCUCCGACACUAUUGAUAAUGUCAAGGCUAAGAUCCAGGAUAAGGAAGGUAUUCCCCCGGACCAGCAGAGGCUGAUCUUUGCAGGCAAGCAGCUUGAGGAUGGCCGUACUCUGGCUGACUAUAACAUUCAGAAGGAGUCAACCCUACACUUGGUGCUUCGUCUUCGUGGUGGGAUGCAAAUAUUUGUGAAGACCCUUACUGGAAAGACAAUUACAUUGGAGGUUGAGGGCUCUGAUACCAUUGACAAUGUGAAGGCAAAAAUUCAGGACAAGGAGGGUAUUCCUCCAGACCAGCAGAGGCUUAUUUUUGCUGGUAAGCAAUUGGAGGAUGGAAGGACCCUUGCUGACUACAACAUUCAGAAGGAGUCUACUCUUCACUUGGUGCUGAGGCUAAGGGGUGGUAUGCAAAUCUUUGUGAAGACAUUGACCGGAAAGACAAUUACAUUGGAGGUGGAGAGCUCAGAUACCAUUGACAAUGUGAAGGCAAAGAUCCAGGAUAAGGAGGGGAUCCCACCAGACCAGCAGAGGUUGAUUUUUGCUGGGAAGCAGUUGGAAGACGGGAGGACUUUGGCUGACUACAACAUUCAAAAGGAGUCUACCCUUCACCUUGUCCUUCGUCUCCGUGGUGGUUUCUGAGUCUUGUCUGUUUGGUAUCUGGUGACUAUGGUCUUGUGGUACUUGGUCACUUUUAUGUUGCAGUUUUUAAUAUUCUGUUAUUAAGUGGUUGUGUUUUGUGUGGAAGGUGAAGCGGUGAACUAUGUAGUAGCAUAUUUAAUGGAGUAGUAAUAACGAAGGGUAGAUCUUGCUCUAAAAGUCAUGAAUUCUAUAAAAAGUUUAUAUUUUUUGCAACAGUCCAUAUAUCUCAGGUGUGGUGACUUUU
This 1151-nucleotide long non-coding RNA is filed under the name Panax ginseng (ginseng). RNAcentral's name for it is "long non-coding RNA (PGIN_LNC003654)". Lineage: Eukaryota; Viridiplantae; Streptophyta; Magnoliopsida; Apiales; Araliaceae. The record is from RNAcentral.